AAACCAUGGUGGGGACAAAGUCUAAGCAUUUCUUUGAAACGCUCCCAAGCAUCAUAAAGAGACUCCCCAUCUUUUUUAUUGAACCUUGUGAUUUGGUCUCUCAAUUU
Molecule: small nucleolar RNA, 107 nt
Filed under: Medicago truncatula (barrel medic)
Lineage: Eukaryota; Viridiplantae; Streptophyta; Magnoliopsida; Fabales; Fabaceae
Description: snoRNA gene2647
Rfam family: Plant small nucleolar RNA R71
About the family: R71 is a member of the C/D box family of snoRNAs containing the C (UGAUGA) and D (CUGA) box motifs. Multiple nearly identical copies of this snoRNA have been identified in Arabidopsis, and it is thought to function as a 2'-O-ribose methylation guide for 18S ribosomal RNA.
Source: Rfam by way of RNAcentral